GGCGGGAUGCCCGAGUGGCCAAAGGGAGCGGCCUGUAAAGUCGUCGGCUCAGCCUACGGAGGUUCGAAUCCUCCUCCCGCCA
This 82-nucleotide transfer RNA is filed under the name Actinomycetota bacterium. RNAcentral describes it as "tRNA-Tyr". It matches the Rfam family "tRNA". Rfam says of the family: Transfer RNA (tRNA) molecules are approximately 80 nucleotides in length. Their secondary structure includes four short double-helical elements and three loops (D, anti-codon, and T loops). Lineage: Bacteria; Bacillati; Actinomycetota. The record is from RNAcentral.